RNAcentral lists this unclassified non-coding RNA (355 nucleotides) under Utraria nivea. RNAcentral's name for it is "Lycoperdon niveum partial internal transcribed spacer region". The stretch from base 1 to 46 matches the Rfam family "Eukaryotic small subunit ribosomal RNA", at positions 1786 to 1831 of the family's 1831-position model. Lineage: Eukaryota; Fungi; Basidiomycota; Agaricomycetes; Agaricales; Lycoperdaceae. The record is from RNAcentral.
AAGUCGUAACAAGGUUUCCGUAGGUGAACCUGCGGAAGGAUCAUUAUUGAAUAUUCUUGAUGGGUUGUAGCUGGCUCUCCGGAGCAUGUGCACACUUGUCUUGACUUUAUUCGUCCACCUGUGCACCUUUUGUAGUCUUGGGGGUUGAGAGCGGUCGACUAUCGGAUGGCUAUGGCCUUUCCGGAUGUGAGGAUUGCUGAGUGAAAGCAUACAGCUCUUCUCAAAUGACUUGCAAAACCUCUCCCUCGAGUACUAUGUAUUCAUAUACCACAUAGUAUGUUGUAGAAUGUGAUCAAUGGGCCUAUGUGCCUAUAAUAAUGAAAUACAACUUUCAGCAACGGAUCUCUUGGCUCUC